This 227-nucleotide ribosomal RNA is filed under the name uncultured bacterium. Its description in RNAcentral is "partial 16S ribosomal RNA". It matches the Rfam family "Bacterial small subunit ribosomal RNA", at positions 109 to 334 of the family's 1533-position model. The record is from RNAcentral.
AGUAACGCGUGAGGAACCUGCCCUCAAGAGGGGGACAACAGUUGGAAACGACUGCUAAUACCGCAUAAGCCCACGGCUCGGCAUCGAGCAGAGGGAAAAGGAGCAAUCCGCUUUGAGAUGGCCUCGCGUCCGAUUAGCUAGUUGGUGAGGUAAUGGCCCACCAAGGCGACGAUCGGUAGCCGGACUGAGAGGUUGAACGGCCACAUUGGGACUGAGACACGGCCCAG